RNAcentral lists this ribosomal RNA (476 nucleotides) under uncultured organism. RNAcentral describes it as "partial 16S ribosomal RNA". It matches the Rfam family "Bacterial small subunit ribosomal RNA", at positions 332 to 799 of the family's 1533-position model. The record is from RNAcentral.
UACACUCCUACGGGAGGCAGCAGUGGGGAAUUUUGGACAAUGGGCGAAAGCCUGAUCCAGCAAUGCCGCGUGUGUGAAGAAGGCCUUCGGGUUGUAAAGCACUUUUGUCCGGAAAGAAAUCCUUGGCUCUAAUACAGUCGAGGGAUGACGGUACCGGAAGAAUAAGCACCGGCUAACUACGUGCCAGCAGCCGCGGUAAUACGUAGGGUGCGAGCGUUAAUCGGAAUUACUGGGCGUAAAGCGUGCGCAGGCGGUUUGCUAAGACCGAUGUGAAAUCCCCGGGCUCAACCUGGGAACUGCAUUGGUGACUGGCAGGCUAGAGUAUGGCAGAGGGGGGUAGAAUUCCACGUGUAGCAGUGAAAUGCGUAGAGAUGUGGAGGAAUACCGAUGGCGAAGGCAGCCCCCUGGGCCAAUACUGACGCUCAUGCACGAAAGCGUGGGGAGCAAACAGGAUUAGAAACCCCAGUAGUCCCAUG